CGGGCUGUAAGCUCAAAGGUAGAGCUGCCGAGCUUUGCCUUGGCGGUAACAGGUUCGAAUCCUGUCAGCCCGA
This 73-nucleotide transfer RNA is filed under the name bacterium. RNAcentral's name for it is "tRNA-OTHER". It matches the Rfam family "tRNA". Rfam says of the family: Transfer RNA (tRNA) molecules are approximately 80 nucleotides in length. The record is from RNAcentral.